Triticum aestivum (bread wheat) is the source of this 2093-nucleotide long non-coding RNA. RefSeq lists it as uncharacterized. The transcript is spliced from 6 exons. The record is from RefSeq and is a predicted model, not a curated record. NCBI's taxonomy places the organism in Eukaryota, Viridiplantae, Streptophyta, Magnoliopsida, Poales, Poaceae.
UACAAAAUUCCUCCAAACCAAAGGAGGCUUAAACCUAAAUCGCACACCAGCCGCCGCCACCCUUCCUCUCCGUCGAUUCGGUCAUGCCGCUGCACGUCCCACCGUCGCCCGCGGGGGCCUGCGCCACCCGAAGCUCCCGUCCAGCUCGCAGUGCAGCCCCACCACCAGCAGCCUGAGGUGAAGCCCCGUCGUUAGCUCAUCCGGCGACCGACGCCGCGUCUGCCGAUUCGAUCGCGCCGCUGCGCCUCCACCGCCAGCGGCUCCACGCGGCCACCCGAAGCUCUUGCCCAGCCCGCGGUGCAUCCCGACGUGUCGCCCUGGCGAUGGACGACCCGCCCACCGAUUUGCGCUGCCAAGGAGCCGCACAAACCCCUGCAUCCCGAGGUGCCAGCCAGCCGUCCCUCUUCCACCUUCGGUGAUGGCUCCCUAUUCCCCCUUGUCCUGCCCUCCUUUAAAUCCAACCGUUGCAUCCUCGUCUUCAAUUGAAUCUAUUUACAGAGGGAAAACCCCACAAGAGGCUUCUGAAGCUUGGUCAACACCUACAUGAGGAUUAUGAAAGGUUGAUCCAAGCCAGCUUCAGAAGGAGCUCAAGGCAUACAGGAAGACCGAGGACGAGGGGAUGAACACACUUUUGAACACUACCUCCAUUUCUGUGCAGUUUCUCUCAAGAUGCAAGCUGAAAUGCUGGUGAUCAAGAAGAACAGUCCUGUGAAUGGCAUCAUCAAGCUCAUCGAACAGCAUCACAUCACAAACCAUGUCAUGGGAACAUCUUCCUUCUCACCGUGUGUCCAGAUCAAAUACAGCUUCAUAACAAGGAUUCAUCUAUAAACAUGCACAUCAAAAUUGCCUGCAGACUUCUAUAUAUAUAGGCACUAAGAUGUGAUAAAUCAUGAUGGCACACUAUCAACUUAUAUAAGUUCCUUGAGGGUAAAAGCAAGUAAUGAACAAGGUACUAGCUUUCUAUCCAUUCUUUUCUUUAUUCCGGCGUGAACUAUGUUGUCCUCCCUGAAAUGGUGAAAAAUGUCUAUAUAACCAUGUUAUGCAUGAUUUUGCUGUGUGUAACAUUUCAAGGGCAACUUCUUAGCUCAACUGAUGGCUGGAUGUCCUUUAUUACAAGCGUGCAUGCUCUAACCAUUUGUUCUUUCUUGUCGUGAUGGAAGAUGUAACACCAUUUACUUGCUAGGUCACUUUCUUACAUUUUCUAAACAGAAUCAUUCGAGUUUCAAUUCUAAAUCAGAUUUGCUUACUAAUGGAUAUCAAUAAUUAUGCUAGGUCUGUGAAUAGUUUAGUGGCUUGUAGAUGAACUGAGCGCCUGUAGUAAUUAAAUGGACUAUAGAUGAACUCAGAGCACAUAGUAAAUGGCUGGCAUGAUUUUAUUAUAAAUUGUGUGAAGAUCAUCCUAGCAAUUACUCACACUAGACAAUGCCUAACUAGAGUGCAUCUAUUGAACCAAGAUGCAUGUGCAACCAUAUGGUCUUCGAAAUGGCUUUUUUUACCAAGUGCAUUUCCUGCUAUCACACAUAUGACUUCUGCUACAUGUACAAGUGCAUAUCUGAUUAUUUGAUGGUUGAGGACCUUCAAAUACAAAUCUGUAAAGUUACAAUAAGAACCUUAUUUGUUAUGCCUUGGAACAGAUCCGAGUCAAUGAGUGCAUAAUUUUUCUAUUAAGGCAUGUGAUAAACUAGUUGCUAGCCUGACUUUUGUUGGUGCUUUGUUAAGGAUAUCUUCUGUAACCAAAUUAUUUGUAGUACAUAUUCUAUUUUUAGAUCUUUGGGAUCAAAGGCAACUCACACAUUUGAACAAAUUCUCAUUUCUAAUAUUGCUCAAACAUGUAAGUUCUUUUGCAGCGAAAUGGCACAUCCAGAAGUUGAUACAAGAUGUUUUGAUGGUCGGUUUUGUUCAUAACAUGUUUGACACAUUUUGUGGAUAUGGAAGUUGAUGUCAGCUUGGUGAUCGAAGAGAUUUGGUCUCUUCCUUAAUAUUUUGUAGUAGUCAAGUGAUCGAACAAUUGGGUCUCUUAGGAGCCUAGCCAUCAUAUUUUGUAAUAGACCAUGUCUUGUAUGUCAACUUAUUUACUUAUUGGUUGUAGCUGA